AGCUGUUUGAAGCUGGUGUACAAACCUGAAAGUAAAAGACGCAAAAAGUACAUUUAAGAACGGGAAGCAUAGAAAUAGCACACAUAGUACAUAUCUACUUAGACUUACUUUCAAUGAGAAUGACUAAACUAUAACUACAAUUUCUAUGUGAAUUUGGUCGGAUCACCCAAAUAGUUAGAUAUUGCAGCUUUAAUUAACUGCCAAUAUGCCAACAUUCCAUUCAAAUAAUGCAGUCAAUCCACAACCAGAUACUGGCUGAUAUCAGUAGAUGAUAGGACUUAAACAAGUUGUAAAUGCAACAAGUACUGAUAUUGUAUCAUAUAAUAACACACAGCUUUCCUGGAAAACAACAUCUGAGACAUUUAUGGCCUGUUUACAUACAUACGGCUAUUUAUCAUGAAAAUUGGUAUAAAACCCAAAUAAACUGUAUUUAUAAUUAUUUGACAUUAUUUUAGGUUGACUAUAAUUCCAUUAUAGAAUUUCUGAUACUGUGCAUUACAUGCCUUACUUCUAUUUUCCUGCAUAAGUAAAAGCAGGAAAUGCUUCACCUAUGCCUCUACUGCCAUUCAUUCUAAUUCGACUGGUUUUUGGAUUUCUCCCUGACCAAGAUGGCUGCCAUUUUCCCCCCAUUAUGGAACUGUUAGGGUUUAUGACAUAGCCCCUCUAGUAAUUUAAUAUGAUCUCUAUUACUCAUUUCUACACAGACUGGCUACUCCUCUCUCUCAGAAGGACUGUGCAUGUUUGAGAUCGACUACAUAGCAGUGGGCUGUGCAAUGCACCAGAACUUCACAACUCCUGGAAGGGUGUUUCUGAAUGUGUAUUUCAGAAUGCCAUAGCAGUCUUCUGAACUGUGCAGCCAAACUGCAAAGGCAACCUCCCCGCUUCUGUUCUGCCUGACAUCUACCUACCUGAUGUCAUGAACCUCUGGUCAGCCUGUCAUCUACGUACCUGGUGUCAUGAACUUCUGGUCAGUCUAUCAUCUACUUACCUGAUGUCAUGGACCACUGUGAUGCCGUUGGAGGCGUCCAGAAGGAAGGAGUCGUGGGUCUGGUCUGAAUCCACCUGGAGGUACUGGAUGUGUCCCAUGUUGACAUCCUCCUGGGAGAAGGAGUGGAUGGUCUCCUCUCUAGUACCCUGGUAGGGAUUGUCCUCUCCCUGGGUUGACCUACGGAGGAACCCGUGGGAUGGAGCCGUCUUCACCUUGUACACUAUCUCAGAGGGGAGGCUGUCCUUAUGGAUCACCUGAAAACAGAGACUUGCCCUCCUCCACCACUACAAUAUGGUUGUAGAGUACAGUGGGGGGCUGCUGGUGGCUCUCCAGGUACACUCUCACCCCAACGCUGGCGUCCAGACGCACCUCUUUAAUGCUCACCGUGAAGUUGAAGGAGUCAGCCAGGUUCAUGCUGUCAUCAUGGUGAUACUGAACGCUGCCCACCUUCAGAUCAUGCUGAGUGAAACGAUCCACCUUCAAAUUGAAUUGAAUAAUACUAAACCGGUCUGCCUUUGAAUUUAAUUGAACUUUUAUUGAUGCCCUAGGUCAAAUUAAAUGAACAACAUCACAACAUGCACAUUACAAACAAUACAAUGCUGGUGCUAUUUCAAUGAUUUUACCUUAACGUUGUUGUGGAACAGAUGCCCGUGUCUCGGCGGGAGGAAGACCUGGCAGACCACCUCCUCAUCGUCUCGGACAUCCAGGUUUGUAAACACACUGAAGUUGGCCGAACCCAAGAUGGCCACAUGGCCUUUCUGGACCAGCAGGCCUGUGUUGUUCUCCACCUGGAUGUAGGGGUCCUGGGCAAUGACCUCCAACAGUGUGGAUGUGUAGUGUUUCCCAUCUGACACGAAUAGGACGAAGCGUCCAAAGCUGACCUAUAGAGUGAAAUCUUUAAUAUUAGUAACUGUAACAAAGCAAUAUUUAAAACUGUGUGUGUGUGUAUGUGUGUGUAUUUUGUGUGUAAUAAAAGUUACUGAUUUCACUCCA
This is a long non-coding RNA of Oncorhynchus kisutch (coho salmon), 1981 nucleotides long. RefSeq lists it as uncharacterized. The transcript has 3 exons. NCBI's taxonomy places the organism in Eukaryota, Metazoa, Chordata, Actinopteri, Salmoniformes, Salmonidae. The record is from RefSeq and is a predicted model, not a curated record.